RNAcentral lists this ribosomal RNA (232 nucleotides) under uncultured bacterium. RNAcentral's name for it is "partial 16S ribosomal RNA". It matches the Rfam family "Bacterial small subunit ribosomal RNA", at positions 28 to 255 of the family's 1533-position model. The record is from RNAcentral.
GAUGAACGCUAGCGGCAGGCUUAAUACAUGCAAGUCGAGGGGCAACAGGGGUAGCAAUACCUGCUGGCGACCGGCAAACGGGUGCGGAACACGUACAGAACCUUCCUUUAAGCGGGGGAUAGCCCAUAGAAAUGUGGAUUAAUACCCCAUAGUAAUAUUGAUUGGCAUCAAUUGAUAUUUAAAGAUUUAUUCACUUAAAGAAUGGCUGUGCGGCUGAUUAGGUAGUUGGGGU